Molecule: ribosomal RNA, 448 nt
Filed under: uncultured bacterium
Lineage: Bacteria
Description: bacterial SSU rRNA
Rfam family: Bacterial small subunit ribosomal RNA
Source: RNAcentral
ACCAGACUCCUACGGGAGGCAGCAGUGGGGAAUAUUGCACAAUGGGGGGAACCCUGAUGCAGCGACGCCGCGUGGGUGAAGGAGUACUUCGGUACGUAAAGCCCUAUCAGCAGGAAAGAAAAUGACGGUACCUGACUAAGAAGCCCCGGCUAACUACGUGCCAGCAGCCGCGGUAAUACGUAGGGGGCAAGCGUUAUCCGGAUUUACUGGGUGUAAAGGGAGCGUAGACGGCAGUGCAAGUCCGGAGUGAAAGCCCGGGGCUCAACCCUGGGACUGCUCUGGAAACUGUAAAGCUGGAGUGCGGGAGGGGCAGGCGGAAUUCCUGGUGUAGCGGUGAAAUGCGUAGAUAUCAGGAGGAACACCGGCGGCGAAGGCGGCCUACUGGACGGUGACUGACGCUGAGGCUCGAAAGCGUGGGGAGCAAACAGGAUUAGAUACCCGGGUAACG